AUCAGUUGGAUAUCUGUCAUCAUCAGUUUGUACAGAGAGUCAUCGGCGGCUAAAGGCUGAACUAGAGCAGAGCCCGGCUCUCGGCAGCCGGCAGGCAUGAGCCCUCCCGACAGAAACCGAGCCCAAACCUGCUGAUGCGCGGUGCUGCCGUUCCUGGGGCUUCAAUGGUGCAGAAGCAUUUGGAUGCAAGUAGAUGUGUUUCCUGUUCAAACAGAAGUGAAUCACUGAGAUGCCUGAACAUAAGAGAUAACCAAGGCUUUGCACAUAUCACUUACUUGUUCACAGAGAAGCUCAUCAAAGCACAGAAAUGACCAAGGCCAAAACAAAAAAUGAAUAAUUUCACAAGUAAGAGGUCUGCUAGAGGCUGUCUCCAUGGAAGGCACGCACAGCCCCUGCCUUGCAUACAGGUGGCCAACAGCCACCUUCCUUGGGAGCCCUUUCAGACACACGACAUGGAGAGGAAGCAGAGGGAACAUUAUUUCUGUACACACUCCGGUCUUCUGUUGCCAAUUGGCGGGUCUCUGUGGAUGUUGGUGUUUGAGCCUGGAAACCUUGGGGCUCAAUGGAAUAACAUCAAAUGGAAGGUGAAAAAUAGAACUGGCUUGCCUAUUUCUGAGGAGGCAGUCAGCUGGAAGAGGAAAGUGAUACAACUCAAACUGGGGAAAUUAAGGAUAAUCUAAUCUUUCAGUACACACACUUGCCUCCUUCAAAAGAAACACAAUGACAAUAUUACUGAAACAUGGAAGACUUUAAUAAGAACAUAUUAAAAGAAUUAACGCAUGGAAAAUAAAUAAUAAAAGCACAUUAAGCAGCAGUCCAGGGAAAUGUUGUUGACAUUGUUGUCAAAUAUUCUAAUAUAAAGGUUUUGGUAGUUCUCCCAACAAAAUAUAAAUGAAACAAUAAGUCCUUGAUUAACAGGAUCAAAAUAUGGUUUAAAAAGAAAAAAAAGAAAUUAAAAAAAACCUUGAAAGCUCCAUCUGGAGGAUUUUCAGCUGUGUGUUCGUCCCUGCUACACCAGCCCUGCAGCUCAUGUCCUUCACACAAAGACAGCAAGAAGAGUUCUAACCCAAUGGUGUACUGACGUUUCUGCAAGAUUGGGUUACAGCUUUGUUUUCUUCCACCCAUCAGUCAGAGGAUUUUCAUGUCUCCACUGACAUGCCAAGCCACAGGACUGUAGAGGGUUGGAGCAGCACUGAAGGACUUUCAUCAUUGGAGGACCUUCAGCAUGUGUUGAGAGCAACCUCCUGCACACCGAGAGAUUGCAACCUUCUGCAAGCUGCGGCCAAGGUACUGCUUUGCAUGGCACAAGAUACACAACAACAACAAU
This is a long non-coding RNA of Lepidothrix coronata (blue-crowned manakin), 1327 nucleotides long. RefSeq lists it as uncharacterized. The record is from RefSeq and is a predicted model, not a curated record. Lineage: Eukaryota; Metazoa; Chordata; Aves; Passeriformes; Pipridae. The transcript is spliced from 6 exons.